This 69-nucleotide transfer RNA is filed under the name uncultured Treponema sp. It matches the Rfam family "tRNA". From Rfam's summary of the family: Transfer RNA (tRNA) molecules are approximately 80 nucleotides in length. Their secondary structure includes four short double-helical elements and three loops (D, anti-codon, and T loops). Lineage: Bacteria; Pseudomonadati; Spirochaetota; Spirochaetia; Treponematales; Treponemataceae. The record is from RNAcentral.
GGGCAGUAGUUCAGUUGGUAGAGCAGCGGUCUCCAAAACCGCCUGUCGUGGGUUCAAGUCCUGCCUGCC